This is an RNA transcript of Sarcophilus harrisii (Tasmanian devil), 6578 nucleotides long. It is a transcript of the gene named family with sequence similarity 78 member B, with no coding region annotated. Lineage: Eukaryota; Metazoa; Chordata; Mammalia; Dasyuromorphia; Dasyuridae. The transcript is spliced from 3 exons. The record is from RefSeq and is a predicted model, not a curated record.
GCCAGCGUGACGGGUUCCCCCCAGUGCCUGCCCCGGCCCCAGCGCUGCCCCGCGCUACGCCGCGCAGGGGCUGGUGCCGGCACUGGGUAGCAGGAUGGGCUGUAUCCAGAGCAUCACCUGCAAGGCGCGGAUCCGGCGGGAGAACAUCGUGGUAUACGAUGUUUGCGCCACCAUCGACCAGUGCCCCACGCUCAUCGAGGAAAGCUCGCCCAUCGUUUUGCGGUACAAGACCCCUUACUUCAAAGCCUCCGCCCGGGUGGUCAUGCCCCCCAUCCCCCGCAACGAGACCUGGGUGGUAGGCUGGAUUCAAGCCUGCAACCAGAUGGAGUUCUUCAACACGUACAGCGACCUGGGCAUGUCAAGCUGGGAACUGCCGGAUUUGAGGGAAGGGAGAGUAAAAGCCAUCAGUGACUCGGAUGGGGUGAGCUAUCCUUGGUAUGGAAAUACUACCGAAACUGUGACUCUGGUUGGACCCACCAACAAGAUUUCCAGGUUCUCAGUCAGUAUGAAUGACAAUUUCUACCCCAGUGUGACAUGGGCUGUCCCUGUGAGUGAUAGUAAUGUUCCACUGCUGACGAGGAUCAAGAGGGAUCAAAGUUUUACCACCUGGCUAGUGGCCAUGAACACAACUACAAAAGAGAAGAUUAUCCUACAGACCAUCAAAUGGAGGAUGAGAGUGGACAUUGAGGUGGAUCCCCUGCAGCUUCUGGGGCACCGAGCCCGCUUGGUGGGCAGGACUCAGCAAGAACAGCCCAAGAUCCUGAAUCGAAUGGAACCCAUUCCCCCCAAUGCACUAGUGAAGCCCAAUGCCAAUGAUGCCCAAGUCCUCAUGUGGAGACCCAAGCGAGGACAGCCUCUGGUUGUGAUACCUCCUAAAUAGAAUAUUAUCGUGUGUCUGGUACACACAGCCAAGGAGUGGAAUGAUGCUGUCAGGGCAUAGUGUGAACAAAAACUGAUAUUCUGAGCCAAAGCAGACCUCUCGGGUUUGCCUGCCUUUGCAGCCACUAGGAAAAAAUGGGGUUGCUCUUCAGGCAGAGGAAUCAUAUUCCCUGGGAAGGUCCCUCCUUAUUAAGGAAAGGAAAUCACUGAUCUUAUGGACUUCCUGUGAUGUAUCCUGUGGGUAGCCAUACUUCAGGUCUGAUUAAGGAGGCUUCCUUUACCUGAACAACUGAACUGAAUCCUUUGCAGUGAGACACAAGGAAUGAAAACACAAUUAAUCAGUGCCUGUGGCAAAUGCUGCUUCCCAACCAUUAGAAGUGGAAAUGGAAAACAUCCAUACCAGGUCUCCUGGUAGGACAAGGCAAGUCCAGCCAACAGAACCACAUGGCAGAAACUAGCAGGAUAUAAAUGAGAAAUGGCCUGUGGCUUUUGAAGCUGAAGCCCUGGACAGAUGCUUCCCUGCUUAAAAAAAUAUAGUACCAUCCAGCCUCCCACACCACCGCCUUCCCAUUUGUGGGACCAGAUGCUUCCCAUCCAACCUAACCCUGUGGUGCCAUGAGAACUUUGCCACUGACUUUCUGGGUGUCAUUUGGAAUGGUCUGCUGGGAGCUGUACCUGCCAAGUCUAUGUCUUGCAUAGAGAGAUUAACUUAAUCUAAACAGAAAAUCCAUCUCCCCUCUCCCCUGUGGUGAACCACUGCAGAGCCCAAGAUUUGGUCAAAUCAGACUUUGUGGCACUAGCCACCAGGGCUCUGACUCUUGCCUUUCUGAUUGGCUGCUGUUCUGCCUAGAUCAGCUUAGGGUGAAAAGCAAGGGGAACAUUUAUGUCUUCCUUCUCUCCUUUCUUCCCUUCUCUUUUCCCUAUCCCCAAUCCCAUCCCUGCUGAAUAUCAACCAAGAGGGCAGGAUGCGGUCAGCUUCUAUUAAGCAUUUUCAAAGCAUCCAAAGACAUUUCCAUACAAGAAGGGCCAGAGAAAAGGAGAGAUAAAUUCCCUCUGGGAAGCUUUGUCACAAGGACCAAGUAACAUUCAAAGACCAUGGAAGAAGCUUCAGAUGUUACAGAAAACCAAGCAUGAGCAAGCAGGGUCUCCUUGAUGUUGGCAGUGGAAUGAGAGGAGAACUACCCAAAGGAAUCACCAUUCAUUUGUUCAUUUUUUGACUUUGGUAUAUACAUAUGUAUGUUUUUAAAGUAUGUACUUGUUGUAAACUGAAAAGCUGUCUUCCAUUUUUGAAAUAAUUAGUCUCAGUUUUAGCCACAGGAUAGGGCAAUACAAUCUUUGGAACCACAGAGAAAAGUCAAAUAAACCCGGGAUCCAAAGACGUUUGAGGCCAUCAUAUCCAAUCGCUGUAUUUUAUAAACAAGGAACAGGAGACACAGAGAAAUAAGAUAGUUUCCCAGGAUUGUGAAGUCAAAAAGGAGAAAAGCUGGUCUUCAAACCUAAGUUCUCUGAUUCCAAAAUCAGAGCUCUUACCAGCACACUGAAUGCUCCAAAAAACAUACUUUCCAAGGUUUAAAUUCAUUCCAUCAAAAAUCCCUCUCCUCCCUUGGAAUGCUCAUUCCAACUCGAACCCUAAUUCUGACUCUACCAUGCAGAUGAUGAAACACUUAAGACCAUUUUAGAAGUUAAAAGGGAAAUUAGCAAGCUAGUACAAACUUGGAUGAAAUGACCUCUAAAAGUCCCUUCCAAAUUUAAAUCUAGGGUUUUCUUAUCAGUACCUCUCCUUUUAUCACUGAAGAAACUGAGGCCCAAGGUGGUGGGGACAGUGAUUUGUCAAAGUAGCACAGUUAGUGGCAAAAUAAAGACUGGAACUCAGAUCUCCUGAGCCAGUCCAGUGCUCUCUACAUUACCUCAUACAUCAAAACCUUUACUGUCCUAUUCAUUUUUACUUCUAACCCUAUGGAAUGUUGGGGUAGGAAGUUGCUGUCAGGUUCCAACCCACCAUUUAAAGAUCUAUGUUCCUUGUUAUUUAUUUGCCAUCCUCCAAAGGUCCUUCAAAUCCAAGAUCUGAUGUUUCCUUAAUUAUUAAGAAUAGGAUUGUGGAAUAAAUCAAUUGGAAAAAGAAGGAAUUAUUUUUACCCUUCCUCCUACUCCAUUCUCCUCAUUGAACCUUCCCUUAUUCCUUAUAUCUAACUUGCAGCAGAUUUCAAAGUAAAGGGACAAGAAAGUGCUGAGUACUGGGUUUAUUUUUUCUUACCAUGAUGCUUCAGAUAUUUACAAUAGUCUUCAAGUAUCUGAAGAGUUAUCAUAUGGAAGAGAAAUUAUGUUUGAUUUACUAAAAGGCAGGACUAAGCACAAUGAAUGAAAAUGCAGAAGGGCAGAUUUAGGCCUAGUAAAAAGGAAAACCAUCUUGUAAUUAGAGCUGUUCAAAAACAAUGGACUGCCUUCAGGAGAGAUGAAUUUCCCCUCACUGGAGAUCUUCAAGCAAAGACUGGAUAAUCAUAAAUUGGGGUUGUGGUAGAAAGGAUUCUUGGCCAGAAACAGGUUGGACUAGAUGUCUCCCACAGUUCUUCCAAACUCUGAAAUUCUAGGAUACCCCAAAAGAACCAUCAAGCCACUCUUGGUCCACAUACAGAAGCUCCAAGAGCAGAAAUCUACCAAUCCCAGCAGAUUGUCAUUCAAGAUCCCCACCUUCCUUCCUUCUUUAUCUUUGUCACCAUGACUAGAUUUUCAGACUCCAAAAUUUUGGGGGGGGAUUCAAUGUUGUUCCACUCUCCCUCUCUGAAAUAGGUCUUCCUAUUUCUCAAGUCCUGGGCCUGAGACUUUCCUUAGGAGUCUUCUAAGUGAAAUUCUAAAUAACACUUGAGGAAAGAGAUAAUAUUGCCAAAAAGUCAGUAGUCAUCAAGAGAUCAAAGAUAUUGGUGCCUUCCAAUAUUUGUUGGUUGACUAAAUGGUAUCACUAUGGUUUUCAUAGCUAUGGAGAGGACCCUUUUGUAUACAUUAGGGGAUAUAUUUUCCAUGUCUAUAGGCACACAGAAGCUCAUUUGAAAUGGAAUUCCAAAUAGAAACAAUUCACAAUUUUCAGCAUUUCUUAUUCAUUGAAUUUUCACCAUACUGUGUCAUAAUGAAUAUAUAUUAACUCCAGAAUCCACGUGUAUAUACUCAGACUAUUGUGAUAUAUACAAUAACUUAUCAUGAAGUAGGCAAAGUUAUCACUGAUACUUGAAAAUUUCUCACUUUCCCUUAACCCCCCACUAGUAGUUAUGUUUUCAAAAUGUUCUCCAGCUAUCCAUAAGUAUAAACUAUUUUCUUUUAUUCCCCCAUUCUAUCUCAGUCUGGCAUAUUUUCCCCAUAUACCUUCCUAUGCUGUAGAUCCUCACCAAAGUCAAAACUUACCUCUUUGGUCUCCUGUUCCCUCCAAAACUUGAUUGUCAUUAUGUGCCAACUUGAACAAUCUAAUCAACGGCUCUUCCAUAAGGUUUUAGUGGGUGCUAAUAGGCUAAAUUAUUAUGCCUCCUAAGUAAAUACAUCAUUUAACCCAGACCUCCUAGAAGCUAUGCCUUAACCCAAAACUAUGACUAAUGGUAGACUUUUUAGGCACUUUAUUAGGCCCAUUGGGAGGAUAUAUUUAGGCAGAUGAACUAAUGGGAGAUAUUUUUAGAAAGGCGAGUUCCUCAAAUCAUGGCAAGAUGUGGGCUCCCCACCCGGCCUAUAGAUAGGACUAAUACCAUCCACACCCAAGGAAAUAUACAUGUACUUUUCACUGUCUUGAGAUUCUUUUUUCAGUAUUUCUUUGUUGAUGUAUAUAAAAAGUAACCAGCCAAAUUAACUGAAACCUAAGAAAUUUAAAGUAUCAGCUUCCAUUUCACUGUCUGGUAACCACUUGACUUUAACCUACUGCCUUUUGCUCCCCCUGAAAUCACCUGUUUUGCUUCUUUACAAAUCUCCUCCUAUCCUUUCUUUGCAGUUUUCCUUUUGAGUUGUAUGUUUGAUAUUACCAAGGAUGGGAGAGGAGGUUCAGAACACAAGCAUGUAUGUAUGUAUGUAUGUAUGUGUGUGUGUGUGUGUGUGUGAUUUUGGAGGAAAAAAAAUCAGGUAUUCUGCUUUGGUUUGGAGAAAACCCCAAUGAAGGAAAAGAUGAAAGCUGGCUUUGCAGAGUGCCUUAAAAAUGACUUUAAUUAGGAAAUUCUGACUCUUCAGUCUUUGGAUGUUACAGAAACUCAAACAGAUGUUGCAUUUCACUUCUCUGGGAUUAAAAAAAAGUUAAAUACAGUAUGUAUUCAACCAACAAAAAUGUAUGUUUUUUUUUCUGUUCCAACUUGGUUUUUAAAGUUGCAGUACAUGGUUUUCUACAGAGCGCUCGCAGAAGGUUAUUGGGAAAAACCAAUCCAAAGAACUCCUGGAAUAUACUGGGAGCCAGUAAUUCAGGGAUAACACCAAGAAAGGGCAGUAACAUUGGACCAAUGGCUAUUGUAGCAAUGAUGAACACUCACCAUGAGAGCUAGUCCGGGAGAGAAUAUCAACAGGAGAAAGAGAGAGCACCAACAACAGAAAUUAAGAAAGACAAGAUCAUGGACAUGAAGGAUAAAAAAAAAAUGGGAACUAUGAAAAAGAGAGGAAUCCCCUCCCUAAUUUACUGCCCUUUAUCUCAGGCCUGGGACUUCAGGGUUCUAAGUCAUACCAUCAUAUAUCAUGUCACAUCAUGCCCCACCAUGGUUUGGCAUGGUAUGGCAUGGUAUGUGACAUGUCAUAUCAUAUCAUACUAAGACAGUGUGCUAUAAUGAAAAGAUUACUGAAUUUGAGGUCAUAGAAUGUUGGUAUAAUAGCUCAGUCAAAUACUGCCUUGUGACCUCAGACAAGUCAUUUGAAUUCUUUAAUUUUCUCAUCUGUGAAAUCAGGGAAUUGAACCAGAAUGACCUCUAAGGUCCCUUCAAACUUUGAGCCUAUGACCUCAUAUUGUUAUCAUAUCACAUUAUAUAUCAUGCUAUGUCAUGUCGUGUUAUAUAGUAAGUCAUGAUGAUUUCCAAGACACUGGGAUCAAUAGUAACAAACAUAAAGUCUUGCUUGCCAUCUCCACUCAUCUUCAUCCCUCCUUUCUUCACAUACAGCUUUCCUUCUAAGCAUACUCCUUUCUACUUCAUUAUUCCAUUGUUCCAAGUGGUCUUGGAGCUGAACACAUACUCAGCAUCUGCCAUUCAUUACUUGACCAAAAAAGAAAAAGUGGGGAAGAUUGGGGAAGUAAGAAGAGACUUUGUAAGCCUGAGUUUCUAAAAGCAGUGACAAGUUUUUCCAGUUGCUCAUUUCAAUUAUUCCAGAUGUUUUGUUUUAAUUGAUCAGACCCUAUCCAGUCACUAGAAUCUCCUGAUGUACUUCAUAUCUAAAAAUUAUAGAGGAUGGGGAAGAACUAAGUUUAUGUCCUUUCUUACUUCAGAGACCAUAACUCAAUCCCUUUUCUCUGGACAUCUGCUUUUUCCUCCCCAACAUCCAUCCAAAGGCAGGACAUGUCAGAGAGUCAGGAACCAGAUACAACUCUGGGCAUGUGAGCAACCUUACCUUUCUUGGGUUGCCAAGGUUUAAAAAUAAAAGCAUUUAUAAGCCCCAGUUCAGGAAAGAACAAGCAAGAGAAAGGGAAACUUGUAACUAAUAUGAGUUGCCAUUCUUAAAAGAAUAAAAAUUAAAAUAAACAUCUGUAACCUAAAUUC